UCAGAUUACAGUAGGUGUUGCUGUGUGGGUGAAUUUACGUUCAUCCAAAUGCAACAUUAAGCUCCUUUCAGAGUAAGGUAAAUGAGCACAAAGCCACAUUUGACUGUAAAAAAAAAGCUCCUUGACAAUAUUCUCCAGAUGUCCAUUUAGCAGGCGGAGGAAGAGAGGGGUGAGAUCUGGGUGUGAGUGAUGGCUUCCUUGCCCUGUCUCUCCUCCCAGCUCACCACUGAUGGAUUAAAGCUCUGGACAGGUUUCAGCCCUAUUGAUCCGGCCUGCCACGGCUGCUCACAUCAGUAGGUAUGAGGAGAAAGAGGGAAGAGGAGGAGGAGGAGGAGGAGGGGGGUGGAUGGUAUAGGGAGCAUAAAGGGGGGGUGGUUUUUAGUUUUUUGGGUGAGAUUAAUCAAAAUGAAAUCUGAACAGUGAGAAUCUUCAAACUGUAACAAAAAGGGAAAAGCUGAAUUAAUUACUGUGUUUGUAGAGGCAGUGGGUGGAGAGUAAACCUCUCUCUACUUUGGGAAAAAUCAUCUUGUGUAAAAGUGUUUUCAACAAGCCUGGCAGACUUAAUUUUUACUUAAUGAGCCUGUUUAUCAGCCUGAUAAUUGAUUGUUGUUUUUUUUUUUAUCAUUAUUUUAACAAUUCAAGCAAACUGCUUAUCCAAACACAAACAGAGAGUCCGCGUUGAGUGCUCUGUGCAGCCGUACCACAACAAAGACACCAAUAAAAUCAAUACGAACUGAUCUAAAGGUGUGAUAUUGAUCAUUUUGGUUGAUAAAAAACCGUGUGUCGGUCUUGAACGAACAGAUCAAAAGAACUAGUUCUUUUUGGUGAACGAAAUGAACUAGUUCUCCCCCCCUAAAUGACCCGUUCAGUCCGUUCAGUUCUUUUGAUUGGCUGAAGAGGGACUAUCUCCGUGCUUGCCUGUCUUAUCCUAUCGUCGCGCCUCGUUCUGUGUGUGGGUGGGGCUUAGAGAAGCAGCAGCAGUACUACUGAGCUGACUGAAAGACCGGGAUGACCGAGUUGACUGAAAGAACGGGUUAAAUGAACGAAAGACCGAGUUGAACAAAAGAACGGGUUAAAUGAAAGAAAGACCCAGACGGAUGAACGAGUUGACUGAAAGACCGAGUGAACGAAAGAUCCAGACCGAUGAACGAGUUGACUGAAAGACCGAGUUGACUGGCCGCCGCACGAGCCGACAGCCGAGCCCGAGCGAGCGGGACAGUCUCACACACACAAAGGCACACAGCUGCUGCUGCAGCCAGAGGCAGAGAGACAACUAUUAAUACGCAUUUGCACUGUCUGUUGACAUUUUGUACUUUUUAUUAUUGUUUUUAAUGCACCUCAAAAUAAUAAAAAACAUUAAAAACCUUAUAUAUUUUGUUAUUCCUACUAUCAUUUUAUAUAACAAGAAGUGCAGCGCGAUCGCAGCGUUGGACCGGGGAUGGGAAGUGGGGAGUGCAGCGGUCACAGCGUCGGACCGCGGGGGCGUCGUAACGUCGGACCGGGGAGCUGAGACGCUCUCAACAUCGGAUCCGGAGGGGUGUAAUGCUUCAGAAUUCAAGAUCACAUGUUGUUGCGCUGUUGCGUCUGAAGUGCAGUCAGUCCGUUCGCUCAUCACGUUCAUUCACGAACGUGAACAACAUGAACGAGCGGACUGACUAACGACCGAUUGACCGAAAUGACCAAAAUGAACGGGUCUUUUUACUGAAUGACCCGGAAUGAUCCGGUUCACUGAAAUGAAUGGUUUUGCCCACCACUACAACAUAUCACAGUUAGCACAACCAGAGCAGCAACUACACUCACCGGCCACUUUAUUAGGUACACCUGUCCAACUGCUCGUUAACACUUAAUUUCUAAUCAGCCAAUCACAUGGCGGCAACUUAGUGCAUUUAGGCAUGUAGACAUGGUCAAGACAAUCUCCUGCAGUUCAAACCGAGCAUCAGUAUGGGGAAGAAAGGUGAUUUGAGUGACUUUGAACGUGGCAUGGUUGUUGGUGCCAGAAGGGCUGGUCUGAGUAUUUCAGAAACUGCUGAUCUACUGGGAUUUUCACGCACAACCAUCUCUAGGGUUUACAGAGAAUGGUCCGAAAAAGAAAAAAUAUCCAGUGAGCGGCAGUUCUGUGGGCGGAAAUGCCUUGUUGAUGCCAGAGGUCAGAGGAGAAUGGCCAGACUGGUUGGAGCUGAUAGAAAGGCAACAGUGACUCAAAUAACCACCCGUUACAACCAAGGUAGGCAGAAGAGCAUCUCUGAACGCACAGUACGUCGAACUUUGAGGCAGAUGGGCUACAGCAGCAGAAGACCACGCCGGGUGCCACUCCUUUCAGCUAAGAACAGGAAACUGAGGCUACAAUUUGCACAAGCUCAUCGAAAUUGGACAAUAGAAGAUUGGAAAAACGUUGCCUGGUCUGAUGAGUCUCGAUUUCUGCUGC
Xyrichtys novacula (pearly razorfish) is the source of this 2425-nucleotide non-coding RNA. NCBI's taxonomy places the organism in Eukaryota, Metazoa, Chordata, Actinopteri, Labriformes, Labridae. The record is from the annotation of a GenBank genome assembly.